This 674-nucleotide ribosomal RNA is filed under the name Acinetobacter baumannii OIFC137. Its description in RNAcentral is "bacterial SSU rRNA". It matches the Rfam family "Bacterial small subunit ribosomal RNA", at positions 55 to 723 of the family's 1533-position model. Lineage: Bacteria; Pseudomonadati; Pseudomonadota; Gammaproteobacteria; Moraxellales; Moraxellaceae. The record is from RNAcentral.
AUGCAAGUCGAGCGGGGGAAGGUAGCUUGCUACCGGACCUAGCGGCGGACGGGUGAGUAAUGCUUAGGAAUCUGCCUAUUAGUGGGGGACAACAUCUCGAAAGGGAUGCUAAUACCGCAUACGUCCUACGGGAGAAAGCAGGGGAUCUUCGGACCUUGCGCUAAUAGAUGAGCCUAAGUCGGAUUAGCUAGUUGGUGGGGUAAAGGCCUACCAAGGCGACGAUCUGUAGCGGGUCUGAGAGGAUGAUCCGCCACACUGGGACUGAGACACGGCCCAGACUCCUACGGGAGGCAGCAGUGGGGAAUAUUGGACAAUGGGGGGAACCCUGAUCCAGCCAUGCCGCGUGUGUGAAGAAGGCCUUAUGGUUGUAAAGCACUUUAAGCGAGGAGGAGGCUACUUUAGUUAAUACCUAGAGAUAGUGGACGUUACUCGCAGAAUAAGCACCGGCUAACUCUGUGCCAGCAGCCGCGGUAAUACAGAGGGUGCGAGCGUUAAUCGGAUUUACUGGGCGUAAAGCGUGCGUAGGCGGCUUAUUAAGUCGGAUGUGAAAUCCCCGAGCUUAACUUGGGAAUUGCAUUCGAUACUGGUGAGCUAGAGUAUGGGAGAGGAUGGUAGAAUUCCAGGUGUAGCGGUGAAAUGCGUAGAGAUCUGGAGGAAUACCGAUGGCGAAGGCA